Molecule: long non-coding RNA, 1906 nt
Organism: Salvelinus sp. IW2-2015
Lineage: Eukaryota; Metazoa; Chordata; Actinopteri; Salmoniformes; Salmonidae
Source: RefSeq, a predicted model, not a curated record
AGUGUGAACGAGCCUAUCAGGGCAGUUCUGAUAAUUACUGACAGGUGUGUGAUUGCAUGAGCGAGUCAACAGGUGAAAUCAACUUGCCUGAUCAAGUCCAGCUCAGCUGUAUGCUACUCCACUCUGAGGGCUGGUGUACAUACAUCAUUAUAACCUAUCAACAACUUGUUWGUUUCUUCGGGAGUCAUUCAAAAAGCCCCACUCUUGGUCCCAUUUGAUAGUUAGGCCUACCAAUUGUUAAGUAAAUGCUKUUUUCYUWUCURUGWGUGAUUUCCCAGCCAGCAGAUUUCAGAUCAUGUACAGUAUAUAUUARCUGGUGACAGAUGCAGAGGCAGUGAGAACUCUUAGUGUGUAUUUUCUCUCCUACACAGCGACAWUAUGCAUCACAUUGUAAAAGUAUUAGGUGUCAAGGUGCUAGARGUAAUUUGGAUUGAAUGAAAGGAAACAAGGUCAUUGCUUUUCACCGUCAGACGUAGGAACUCGCCACUUCCUCUAGAGAUGAAUCAGAUCAAAGACAAUAUGAGUUAUAGUGAAACUCGCAUGCAUUGCUCAUGUUUAUGCUCGAUCAGGAGCUGAGAGCACAGCACAUCAACCAAUAUGAGUCCAAGUGCAGCUAAAAGUCACAGGAGCUUAUAUAAGGGGGGACACUGCUAUUGGCUUCUGGUUAUAACAUUUAUGUUUCAACCUAAUAUCUCAAACAAACAGAUGUUUGUUGAGAAACGACUGAGCAUAAAAUGGGAGGUUGAGAGAACAUUGUAGGCACACAGAUGAUAUCUGUGAUCUCAAACUCAUCUCCUCUUUUUGAAAAAUGCUGUUUGAAAUGUUAUUUCUAAAGGUUAUUUGACAUUGACAUUUCAAUCAUAUAUAUAUAUUUAAUUCAAAUCAAACUAAAUGUAGGUUCCACCGAAUAAAUAACCAGUUGGACUACCCUGUGAAGGUAGAAAUAAGAACAACUGCCUCCGGAUUCCAUGUACAUCGACUCAUUAUCAGUUCUGAAACUAUAGUAGGCAUGAAACAAGCUUCUACUGUAGCUUCUUGAGUUUGUGAGACUUGGGGACAAAACCACAUCCUGUUCUAUGUUGAGCUUGACACGGUUGUUGGAAAACCACAUGACACGUUUCACAGCCAGCUAACUCAUUGCAAGAAAGCGUUGGGUAAAGUACAGUGGCGUCACCAGUUGACACAUUUAGUGACUGUCCUUUUUAUCAAUGCUUCACUAGUGGCGGUUGGACUUACCCACAAUAACAGAAAGUCAGAUACAGCAAGUAUAUGAAUGUUGAUAGUGCUACUCAGUGAUCUCAUGUCUGUCUACCUGUCUGUCUGCCUGUCUGUCUGUAGCUAACUCCAGUGGUCCUGGUAUUCCUGUAGAGCCUGCACCUCCUUCCUUCGCUCCAGCUGAGCUCAAGUUCCCCACGGAGUGCAACAGCCAUUGGAGCCUGGACCAGAAAGCCACUGAGCCACUCUUCAUCAACACAGCUGUUAUUCAGGUAAACGGCUAUACSUCAGACUGUGAAGUUGAGGCCGAUYGCYCCACRAUAACAAUGACAACAUCAGAGCMWUUCAGCCAAUCGGAUCACAGUAAUGGAAUGAGAGGAAAUGACAUCAGACCCUCCCGCUACCUAUCAGAGCCACAGGAAGAUGAGUGGCCAGGGACUUAAUUCUGAUUUUCAACUAAAUAUUAUUUUUUAAAUUACUUUUUUUUCAAAGAAUAAAACCUACAUGGGAAAAUAACUGAGCAGAUUCUUCCUUGACAGUUCCUGGAUACAAUCCCUUUUUUUUUUUUAAGUCUCAUCCAUGCAAUAUAAAUAUACUGAACUAUAAACAUCCAAUGAACAUUCUUUGUUUCUUAGGUCAUUGAAAAAACUGUUGGGGAGGGCUUAAAUAAAGUGUAACCACUGAGGUCAAA